GCUCACACCAGGAACCCACCAACUUGAGAGCGACAAUUAGGAAGCUGCUUUUAGCUCCAUUUUAGAACCUUUUUUAAGGUUUUAGGUGGAAACUCUUGCCAACCCAUUGGGCGCAAUUUAUAGCUAGAGUUUUCCUGCCUGGCCCACAGUCAGGACAAUUCUCUCUCACUCUCCAG
This is a non-coding RNA of Peromyscus maniculatus bairdii (prairie deer mouse), 176 nucleotides long. The record is from RefSeq and is a predicted model, not a curated record. Lineage: Eukaryota; Metazoa; Chordata; Mammalia; Rodentia; Cricetidae.